UACGUAGGGUGCAAGCGUUGUCCGGAAUUAUUGGGCGUAAAGAGCUCGUAGGCGGUCUGUCGCGUCGGCUGUGAAAUCCCGAGGCUCAACCUCGGGUCUGCAGUCGAUACGGGCAAACUAGAGUAUUGCAGGGGAGACUGGAAUUCCUGGUGUAGCGGUGAAAUGCGCAGAUAUCAGGAGGAACACCGGUGGCGAAGGCGGGUCUCUGGGCAAUAACUGACGCUGAGGAGCGGAAGCGUGGGGAGCGAACAGG
This 253-nucleotide ribosomal RNA is filed under the name uncultured bacterium. Its description in RNAcentral is "partial 16S ribosomal RNA". It matches the Rfam family "Bacterial small subunit ribosomal RNA", at positions 524 to 776 of the family's 1533-position model. The record is from RNAcentral.